GAGGUUGUGGCUCAAUGGUAGAGCACUUGCCUAGCAUGUGUGAGGCACUGGGUUCAAUCCUCAGCACCACA
This 71-nucleotide transfer RNA is filed under the name Marmota monax (woodchuck). RNAcentral's name for it is "tRNA.Ala". It matches the Rfam family "tRNA". From Rfam's summary of the family: Transfer RNA (tRNA) molecules are approximately 80 nucleotides in length. Their secondary structure includes four short double-helical elements and three loops (D, anti-codon, and T loops). The record is from RNAcentral. Lineage: Eukaryota; Metazoa; Chordata; Mammalia; Rodentia; Sciuridae.